GUCGCCGUGCUGGUCGGCCUGGCCUGGAGGAGGAGGCUGUCAGGGCCCCAGGCGGAUCUGUACUCGCCGGCGCCGGCCAGCGAGCAUGGAUCGGACAGCUCCAUCACUGCUCUAACAUAGCCGGUCG
Terrapene triunguis (Three-toed box turtle) is the source of this 127-nucleotide long non-coding RNA. RefSeq lists it as uncharacterized. The record is from RefSeq and is a predicted model, not a curated record. The transcript is spliced from 4 exons. Lineage: Eukaryota; Metazoa; Chordata; Testudines; Emydidae.